This 844-nucleotide long non-coding RNA is filed under the name Danio rerio (zebrafish). Its description in RNAcentral is "si:dkey-188k17.2 (ENSDARG00000104522.2)". The record is from RNAcentral. Lineage: Eukaryota; Metazoa; Chordata; Actinopteri; Cypriniformes; Danionidae.
AUUCUGGUGUCUUUCAGCCUGUUUCUGCCUAUCACCAUGAGUGAUUCCUUGAUACUCAGAUUGAUAAUCAAGAUCUCAAUUAUAACCUCAAGUCUUGAUGACAGCUUGAUGAUCUCCAAGAAGCACCACCAUGUAAAGAAGGCCAAGACCACUCUGGAAUCAGUCAAGGCUCAUAGGAACUCCAAUCUUCCCAACUGUGAGAGGGCCUUGCUCCAGUGGCUGUUGGAUUGGAGUGACCAGACAUGCUACUGUAACUCUCAUGGUCAUGUGCUGGAAUUAGCAGAUAUUCAACAAUUUGGCCAUCUCGCUGACCUGUUGAUUUCAGAAGACUGCAACAGCUCUGCAAAGCAAGUUGCAAAACACAAUCCAUGGAACUGGCAGUGACCGGAAACCAAUUGGAAGACUUUGGUCUGUGAUGUAGAGGAGAGGGCAGUAGCAGACGCAAAGACAACAAAAAACAGAAGUGAUAUGGAUGUCUUCGUCAUAUGGCAUGACUCUGUCGAUCCAGCAACAAAGAGGAGGGUGUUCAACAUCAUCCUGCUAGUCAGGAUUCUUCAGGAGAAGCAGCGGAUUAUUGUGGCAGAGAUGGCCAACCACUAUAAAUAAUAAUAUAAAAAGUACUGGUAUGUAUUUGUAUUUUUUGGCACAUAAAGCAUAAGGUUACCCAGUCCAAAGGAUACUAAUAUAUUUUAAUGUUGUUGUGUUCUUCUUUUAAGAUUCGGCAUGUGGCCUAAAUGAAGAGGGGUUAAAAGGUCUGUUGAUCAUCCUUCUCAGAAAGCAGCAAAAUAACUGAGAAAUAAACAACAAUACAAUGGUGCAAUCUAGAGACCUGCAAGGUACCUGC